UGGGAGCUUGCUCCCUGAGAUUAGCGGCGGACGGGUGAGUAACACGUGGGUAACCUGCCUGUAAGACUGGGAUAACUUCGGGAAACCGGAGCUAAUACCGGAUAAUUUCUUUUCUCGCAUGAGAAGAGAUGGAAAGAUGGUUUCGGCUAUCACUUACAGAUGGACCCGCGGCGCAUUAGCUAGUUGGUGAGGUAAUGGCUCACCAAGGCAACGAUGCGUAGCCGACCUGAGAGGGUGAUCGGCCACACUGGGACUGAGACACGGCCCAGACUCCUACGGGAGGCAGCAGUAGGGAAUCUUCCGCAAUGGACGAGAGUCUGACGGAGCAACGCCGCGUGAGCGAAGAAGGCCUUCGGG
This 357-nucleotide ribosomal RNA is filed under the name uncultured bacterium. RNAcentral's name for it is "bacterial SSU rRNA". It matches the Rfam family "Bacterial small subunit ribosomal RNA", at positions 73 to 422 of the family's 1533-position model. The record is from RNAcentral.